CAGCCGCCACGGUAAUACGAAGGGUGCAAGCGUUACUCGGAAUUACUGGGCGUAAAGCGUGCGUAGGUGGUGGUUUAAGUCCGUUGUGAAAGCUCUGGGCUCAACCUGGGAAUUGCAGUGGAUACUGGGUCACUAGAGUGUGGUAGAGGAUAGUGGAAUUUCCGGUGUAGCAGUGAAAUGCGUAGAGAUCGGAAGGAACAUCUGUGGCGAAGGCGACUAUCUGGGCCAACACUGACACUGAGGCACGAAAGCGUGGGGAGCAAACAGGAUUAGAUACCCCUGUAGUCCCUGUCUCUUAUAC
This 301-nucleotide ribosomal RNA is filed under the name uncultured bacterium. RNAcentral's name for it is "partial 16S ribosomal RNA". It matches the Rfam family "Bacterial small subunit ribosomal RNA", at positions 509 to 807 of the family's 1533-position model. The record is from RNAcentral.